AUUUAGUUUUGUUAUUUUCUCCAUCAGAGUUUCCUUCUGGUGCAGUCAUCGGAGGUUGUGUAGGACUGCUGCUGCUGCUGCUCUGCAUCACCGGACUCUUCUUCUGGAAAAGGAACAAUAACGGGUUCAGACCUACAAACACCUCAGAUUCAUCAGAGAAAACUUCAGAUCCAAGUCAACGAAGAAAUGAUGAACUCCAGUGAGCUUCUGAUCACAUCAGUCUGUUAUAUUUUGUUGGCGCACAAACAGUAGAGACAUCCCUGGAAAAACUGAUGUUGCUGACUGAGUGAGGAAAGUAAAAACAAUGGUCGUCCAGCAGACUGUUUCUAUUUUCUGUUGGACUCUGAAAACAUUUCAGUAUAACCCAUCUUUAAUCUCCCUGUAUAUUUAUCCAUGAACCUUGUAGUUAUUUUUAAUCAGUAUUUGUUCUUUGGCUCAUAUAUACAACAUGUUUCUAGGACCACCUUAUUUCAAUAUUGUUAAAAUUAGGAAGAUCCUGUCUCAGAGUGAUGCAGAAAAACAUUCUAUGCAUUUGUUACUUCAAGACUGGAUUCCUGAAAUUCCUUUUUAUUGGCUGUUCAUUUUAAUUUCUUGUAUUAUUAAGCUCACCUUGUUAAACCACGUUAUAUUUGUGUCCUGUUGGAACAUCUUGUCUGCUGUAAAUCCAGACACCAGACAGUCUU
This is a long non-coding RNA of Melanotaenia boesemani (Boeseman's rainbowfish), 683 nucleotides long. RefSeq lists it as uncharacterized. NCBI's taxonomy places the organism in Eukaryota, Metazoa, Chordata, Actinopteri, Atheriniformes, Melanotaeniidae. The transcript is spliced from 4 exons. The record is from RefSeq and is a predicted model, not a curated record.